AACCCUAGGAUCGAUCCCUCGUUAGAGUAACGAGGCCCCCUCGACUCCUCUCUCGAUCUGUUUCCGGGAUUGAACGCCGCCGCCGCCGCCGCCGAUCCCAUCUUCCCCGGCGACAUGCCUCGCCGGCGGCCUCCUCUCCCCCAUCCACGCCGGCGACCUCCCUCUACCCCGCCCUCUCCGUCAACCCGUCUCUCCAGCAGCUCGGGCGAAACCCUAGCCCACCCGAUGCCACGACAACCUAGCAGGCAGGCGCGAGGAGCCCUGCCCAGCCAUGGCGACACCGCCGGCGGCCUCCUCCUCCCCCUCACCUUCUCUCCCUCUCCCAAGGGAGGGAAGGUAAUGGAAGGGAUCCGGCGGCAAGGGGAGGCAGCGCCCAGAUCCGCAGCCGCACCGGCGGGCCGCCAUCCCUCGAGGUCGUCCAUGGAGGUCCGAACGUGAUACAGGCUUGAGCAGUCAUACAGUAGCCCAGUAACAAGCCGAGGCCUAGGAAGUGCCUUCAUGCGACGGCGACCUGAAGGUGUGGGAACAUGCGACGGCGACCUGAAGGCGUGGGAACAGAGCUGGGACGUGCAGCGCCCUGCACAAGUCGGGUCGCGCACGGAGCGAGCGCCGUGCCAACGCAUCCAUCAAUAGGACGCGGUGCCUCCAUGUGUGUGCGGGGUGGAUCCAAGGCCGUGCAAAAUGAGAUCGGCGGCGGGCAGACCUGUGCCGAUUUAAUGGGCUGGUGAUGUUUGCAGGCGAUGGCGCCGCGGCGUGGCUGUGGGUGUGGCCCGACCUCUGCCUCCUCUAUCACGUGCAAUCGUCCUUCUACGCCAUCACCACCUCUCCCUUGAUGUGUUCCUCUUCCUCGUGAUCCCGCCUCCUGUUCCUCGCCAGAUGACUACAACAGCCAGCGGUCACCUCAUAUGCGGCGAGCUCGGAGGAGGUUGCAGGUGGGAUAACUGAUGAGGAAUGCUCGUGACAUUGAUGAACUUGAUAUGAGUGUUUUGUAGAUCAUCAUCCAACCGACGUGCCAGACAUGCUACAUAUUGGCAUGAUGGACUUCUAUGGUACAAGGACAUUGGGCACCAUGUAAAUGUGACUAAUGGUUCGCUUCGGGACACGUUCAGUGUCCUCUGAUGUACUGAAGAAAGCAUAUUAAGCUACAUAAACAUGGAUUCUUCUCUAUUGUCACAAAACAGCUGGCUCUUGGGGUUUCCAAAGCCUCUUUUGGGGAUGCAGCUGGAGGGUUCCAUGGCGUUUUUAGCAGGGACGGUGUGCGGCAGGUUACGUGUGCUGGACACGUCAAGUUGAGGUGCCUAAAGUUUCUAUAUGGCUUAAUUUUGUCGCUCUCAGCACCCUUGCAAGAUCAUUGUUUUAUGAACUCUUCAAAAUUUCUCUACUUUUACUGAAUUUGGGUCUUUGUUUCUAAGAUUCCCCUAACUUAUGUUGUCAUCUGGUUCUCCCAUCUUAUAGGUUAUUUGCUCAGUUGACCAUUUAUAACAAGGAACAAAAAAAUCACUAGGUGUUCUAUACAUGUCCUCCAGUAUGGUAUACUAUUCGUUUUUAAGAAUUUGUAUGCCCUUUUUCUGGAAUGUCGUCUCUUGGAUACAUCAAGAUAGUUGAUUCCAAUUGUUAUUGUUGUUGUUUUCAUACUACAUUGUUGCUACUGUUCCUAAGUGUAGCGUACGAUUUUUUUUGAUCAUCAUUGCCCUUUCUAGGUCAAUUUUGAUAUAUUUAAGCUACUAUAGUUGGGAAGCUAUUUUAGGAAAGUGUCAAUGCUACCUCGGAGGUUUCUUUAAUAUCUGAUGAGUAUCAGCAAAAUAUAUGACACCACAAUGAUGUCUAGAACAGGAAGUGAUUAGGCCUCAAUGCUAUAUCUAUAUGUUUGCUGGAUUGUAGCAGCUUCAAACCGUGUUUUAAGAGCUCCAAUUUUCCCAAAUCUGAAUGCACAAAAACUUCUUGGUAUUUCACAACAAUAUAAAUUACACCGAUUUUUAACUGACUAUCAGGUGUAUCUUCUUUCGGUCUGUUAAUUUGAUCUCCGUGUGAACACAUAUGUGUCAGUUUCAUCAUGCUAGCAAGGAGAAUCAGGUGUUCCUCCGUCGCCGCCGUUGCCACCAACAACAAAAAUGACGACCAGCUCAUGAGACGGCUAAUAGAGAAUUGGAGCCUUCUUGAGAAGGCAACACACUUGAGAUCAAGAGAGAGGGGGGAGAGAUCGAGGGAGGGAGAGGGAGGAAGGAAGGGGGAGAUUUUGCAGGUACACAGGACAACCAUGUUAUAAAAUGUAAAUGAGAUUUGGUGGUGCAUGCAAUAGCUCUGAUUUAUUAGAGUAGUUAUCCCAAGUUCCAAGGGACAAGAACAAGAUAAUGGAGCUCAAGGGGUAUUCAAUCAAGAGGCAAGCUGGGAAAAGAAUAUUCAAACCCCUCUGCCCUUGGAAGUAGCUUCUACGUAAAUUGCAUUUAUUGUUAUAAGAUUGUAAUUAUCAAAUGUAUGAAUCUGUGUGAAAUUGUGCAAAGGCCCGCUUGUUCUUUCACUUUUAAUAGAGUUGCACUGUACAUGGAAUUCAAACUCUUUAAACUCGACAACGAUAUUCUUGAUGAGAGCAUAACAAAACCCUGAAAAGGCACACUUAUUCUUGAA
Triticum dicoccoides is the source of this 2625-nucleotide long non-coding RNA. RefSeq lists it as uncharacterized. NCBI's taxonomy places the organism in Eukaryota, Viridiplantae, Streptophyta, Magnoliopsida, Poales, Poaceae. The transcript is spliced from 6 exons. The record is from RefSeq and is a predicted model, not a curated record.